This 1049-nucleotide long non-coding RNA is filed under the name Equus caballus (horse). Its description in RNAcentral is "lncRNA (ENSECAG00000043963.1)". Lineage: Eukaryota; Metazoa; Chordata; Mammalia; Perissodactyla; Equidae. The record is from RNAcentral.
ACUGCAAUCAAGAGGCAGGCAGAGAGAGAUCUGACACACACGGAGAGGAGAAGGCCAUGUGAAGAUGGAGAAGACUGAGUUUAAGGUGCUGGCCUUGGAGAUUGGAGAAAUGUGGCCAAAAGCCACAGAAUGCUGGGAGCCACCAGAAGCUGGAAGAGGCAAGGAGCAAAUUGUCUUCUGGAGCUGAUGGAAAGAAAGUUUGUCUGAAUACAUUUGAAAUGGUCCAGAGGAAGAAAUGUCUACACAGUGAGUGGCUAAAGCAUCUGAAACAGCACUGUAGCUUCUAAUCCAGAGGCUAGGAAAUUCAAGGCACUGGCAUGUUCAUGUUUGGUGAAAGUCCGCUUCCUGGUUCUUCACAUGGUGGAAGAGAUAAAGGAGCUCUCUGGAGCCUCUAUUAUAAGGGCCCUAAUCUCAUUGGUGAGGACUCUGGCCCUUGUUACUCAAUCACCUCCCAAAGGCUCCACCUCCAAAUAAUAUCACGUCAGGGAAGGUUUCAACUAGAAAUUUUGAGGGGACACAAACAUUCAGUCUAUAGCAAUUACCAUUAUCAUCCAAAACUUUUUAAAUAUAUGUGUUCUUAUAAUUUAGAGUUAAGGAAACUGAGCUGUUCAGGGACUCACCUAGAACCAUAUGGUUAGUAAAUGAUAGAGAUAAAAUUUUAACUCAGGGAUGUCUAGCUACAAGACUAUAAUAUUUUCCUAACACUGUGCUGCUUUCUCAUACUCUCAACCAGGGCACAAAUGGAUGGUGAUUUUUCAAAUUUUCCCUUCCUACAAUUAACAAACUGUAGCACAACAGCUCUCCGAAAAAUAACCUAAUAACCUAUGCAUUGCUUAUAAAAGCCCUACACAAGCAAAUUGCAUGAUAGAAUUCUAAAACCAGAGCUGAAAUCCUUUAUUUUCCUGGAUAAACUGAAAUGAAGGCAAUUGCUCUGCACUGUGAUAAAUGGAAACCAUUUUUGACAUACCAAAUUGUUUGUCUUGCUAUUUGGAAGUGAAUCCCUUAUUUUCAAAGAAAUAUUAACUUAUUUCAUAAAAUAAUCUUUUAUU